Molecule: ribosomal RNA, 958 nt
Filed under: uncultured bacterium
Lineage: Bacteria
Description: bacterial SSU rRNA
Rfam family: Bacterial small subunit ribosomal RNA
Source: RNAcentral
GUGACGGUAGCUUACCNGAAAGGGACGGCUAACUACGUGCCAGCAGCCGCGGUAAUACGUAGNUCCCGAGCGUUGUCCGGAUUUAUUGGGCGUAAAGGGAGCGCAGGCGNUCAGGAAAGUCUGGAGUAAAAGGCUAUGGCUCAACCAUAGUGUGCUCUGGAAACUNUCUGACUUGAGUGCAGAAGGGGAGAGUGGAAUUCCAUGUGUAGCGGUGAAAUGCGUAGAUAUAUGGAGGAACACCAGUGGCGAAAGCGGCUCUCUGGUCUGUCACUGACGCUGAGGCUCGAAAGCGUGGGUAGCGAACAGGAUUAGAUGCCCUGGUAGUCCACGCCGUAAACGAUGAGUGCUAGGUGUUAGGCCCUUUCCGGGGCUUAGUGCCGGAGCUAACGCAAUAAGCACUCCGCCUGGGGAGUACGACCGCAAGGUUGAAACUCAAAGGAAUUGACGGGGGCCCGCACAAGCGGUGGAGCAUGUGGUUUAAUUCGAAGCAACGCGAAGAACCUUACCAGGUCUUGACAUCCCGAUGCUAUUCUUAGAGAUAGGAAGUUACUUCGGUACAUCGGAGACAGGUGGUGCAUGGUUGUCGUCAGCUCGUGUCGUGAGAUGUUGGGUUAAGUCCCGCAACGAGCGCAACCCUUAUUGUUAGUUGCCAUCAUUAAGUUGGGCACUCUAGCGAGACUGCCGGUAAUAAACCGGAGGAAGGUGGGGAUGACGUCAAAUCAUCAUGCCCCUUAUGACCUGGGCUACACACGUGCUACAAUGGUCGGUACAACGAGUUGCGAGCCGGUGACGGCAAGCUAAUCUCUGAAAGCCGAUCUCAGUUCGGAUUGGAGGCUGCAACUCGCCUCCAUGAAGUCGGAAUCGCUAGUAAUCGCGGAUCAGCACGCCGCGGUGAAUACGUUCCCGGGCCUUGUACACACCGCCCGUCACACCACGAGAGUUUGUAACACCCGAAGNC